AAUAAGCGAAUUCCUGAGUUUUUUGAUAGAAUUUUCAACUCUUCGUCUUAUUUGAAAAUUUUUUAUAAUUAAUGUUUUUAUCGUUACUACAUGAUAAAACAUGAAUAAUACUUUACAUAUAAUUAAUAUUUUUGAUUUUUUAAUAAAAUUUUUAAAUAAGACGGAUGGUCAAACGCUAAAUCUAGAAAACCCAG
Molecule: microRNA precursor, 194 nt
Filed under: Oryza brachyantha (malo sina)
Lineage: Eukaryota; Viridiplantae; Streptophyta; Magnoliopsida; Poales; Poaceae
Description: MIR812 microRNA precursor family
Rfam family: MIR812 microRNA precursor family
Source: Rfam by way of RNAcentral